This 402-nucleotide ribosomal RNA is filed under the name Vibrio parahaemolyticus. RNAcentral describes it as "partial 23S ribosomal RNA". It matches the Rfam family "Bacterial large subunit ribosomal RNA", at positions 2256 to 2657 of the family's 2925-position model. The record is from RNAcentral. Lineage: Bacteria; Pseudomonadati; Pseudomonadota; Gammaproteobacteria; Vibrionales; Vibrionaceae.
GCCUGGUGGGUAGUUUGACUGGGGCGGUCUCCUCCCAAAGAGUAACGGAGGAGCACGAAGGUGGGCUAAUCACGGUUGGACAUCGUGAGGUUAGUGCAAUGGCAUAAGCCCGCUUGACUGCGAGAAUGACAAUUCGAGCAGGUGCGAAAGCAGGUCAUAGUGAUCCGGUGGUUCUGAAUGGAAGGGCCAUCGCUCAACGGAUAAAAGGUACUCCGGGGAUAACAGGCUGAUACCGCCCAAGAGUUCAUAUCGACGGCGGUGUUUGGCACCUCGAUGUCGGCUCAUCACAUCCUGGGGCUGAAGUCGGUCCCAAGGGUAUGGCUGUUCGCCAUUUAAAGUGGUACGCGAGCUGGGUUUAGAACGUCGUGAGACAGUUCGGUCCCUAUCUGCCGUGGGCGUUGG